GGGGAAUAUUGGGCAAUGGGCGAAAGCCUGACCCAGCAACGCCGCGUGAGGGAAGAAGGUUUUCGGAUUGUAAACCUCUGUCCUCAGGGAAGAAAAAAAUGACGGUACCUGAGGAGGAAGCCCCGGCUAACUACGUGCCAGCAGCCGCGGUAAUACGUAGGGGGCGAGCGUUGUCCGGAAUGACUGGGCGUAAAGGGCGCGUAGGCGGCUCUGUAAGUCCGGAGUGAAAGUCCAGCUUUUAAGGUUGGAAUUGCUUUGGAAACUGUGGGGCUUGAGUGCGGAAGAGGUAAGUGGAAUUCCCAGUGUAGCGGUGAAAUGCGUAGAGAUUGGGAGGAACACCAGUGGCGAAGGCGACUUACUGGGCCGUAACUGACGCUGAUGCGCGAAAGCGUGGGGAGCGAAC
RNAcentral lists this ribosomal RNA (403 nucleotides) under uncultured bacterium. RNAcentral's name for it is "bacterial SSU rRNA". It matches the Rfam family "Bacterial small subunit ribosomal RNA", at positions 356 to 773 of the family's 1533-position model. The record is from RNAcentral.